GCAGCAGCAGCAGGGAGCUGCAAAGGGACACAGAUGGAAGCUUGCGUGUCAGUCAGCUGUUCAUCAAUGCCCAAAGGAAUGAGUUUUGUUCUGGGCGGCAGGAUGAAGGCAGUGUGUGUGCACCUGUGCAUUCAGAAUGGGGCCUUCCUGAUUCAGCUUGAGCAGGAUCUGAAAUGAACAGAGCGGACAUCCAAAAACUUCAGGUGACAGUGGGGAGAGGAAGAAUGAGGGAAAACCCAGCAGAGGAUUGUUGAGAAGUGCCAGAUGGAAAAAGAGGGGGAACCAAAGAACAAAAGCUGGAGCAAAAUAGAAGAAUAGGUUUGGAUCACCUGCUUCGCAACAUGGAAUCCAAAAAACAUAAUGCAGCAGUAACGAGAAAGAAGCCUGUGCCCUCCGCAUAGGAAAUACUUAGAUUCUGAAACAAGCUUUAAACCUCAGUGGAAAAUGCACACAGGGGAGAAACCAUAUGAAUGUUUAGAGUGUGGAAAGAGCUUCAGGCGGAGUGGAGAGCUUCCUAAACAUCAUAAAAUCCACACUGGGGAGAAACCACAUAAAUGCUUGGAGUGCGGAAAGAGCUUCAGCCGUAGUGGAGCUCUUACUAGCCAUCAUAGAACCCACACUGGGGAAAAGCCACAUAAAUGCUUGGAGUGUGGAAAGAGCUACAGGAACAGUGGAGCUCUGGCUUUCCACCAUAGAACCCAUACUGGGGAGAAACCAUAUAAAUGUUUAGAGUGUGGAAAGAGCUUCAGUCAGAGUGGAGCUCUUAAUAGCCAUCAUAGAACCCACACUGGAGAGAAACCAUAUAAAUGCCUGAAGUGUGGAAAGAGCUUUAGUCGGAGUGGAAAGCUUACUUUACACCAUAGAACCCAUACUGGGGAGAAACCUCAUAAAUGUUUAGAAUGUGGAAAGAGCUUUAGGUGGAGUGGAGCUCUUACUUUGCACUGCAGAAUCCACACUGGCGAGAAACCACAUAAAUGCUUAGAGUGUGGGAAAAGCUUCAGACACAGUGUAGCUCUAAUUAUACACCAUAGAACUCACACUGGGGAGAAACCAUAUAAGUGCUUGGAGUGUGGAAAGAACUUCAGCCAGAGGGGAAAUCUUACCUCACAUCCACACUGGGGAGAAACCACAUGAGUGCUUGGAGUGUGGGAAGAGCUUCACGACGAGUGGAAACCUUACUUUACACCAUAGAACCCAUACUGGGGAGAAACCACAUAAAUGCUUGGAGUGUGGAAAGAGAUUUAGCCACAGUUCAUCUCUUACUUCACAUCAUAGAAUCCACACUGGGGAGAAACCACAUAAAGGCUUGGAAGAAGGAAGGCACACCUGCCCAUCAGCAAACUGCAGUGUAAAAAUCAUACAUAUGAAACGUCAGACAUGCCUGAGCAUCUGUCUCUGUGAAAUAUAAAACCUUCCAUCCAACCCUAGAACUGGCUGAAAAGUAAGAAGGAACCGUGUCCUGGGUGAAUUAUACAGAAGGCAGUAUAAAAUAUAAAAUGUAUGCUGUCCUCAGUUUGAUUAGCUCCAUAAACACAAAGGCAUGUGUUAUCUGGC
Molecule: RNA transcript, 1554 nt
Organism: Hemicordylus capensis (graceful crag lizard)
Lineage: Eukaryota; Metazoa; Chordata; Lepidosauria; Squamata; Cordylidae
Gene name: zinc finger protein 70-like
Exons: 4
Source: RefSeq, a predicted model, not a curated record